CCAAUCCCGGCUAAUAAUAUAUGGGGGGGGGGGCUAUAAUGCAAGUCGAGCGAACAGAAAGGAGCUUGCUCCUUUGACGUUAGCGGCGGACGGGUGAGUAACACGUGGGCAACCUACCCUAUAGUUUGGGAUAACUCCGGGAAACCGGGGCUAAUACCGAAUAAUCUCUUUUACUUCAUGGUGAAAGACUGAAAGACGGCAUCUCGCUGUCGCUAUAGGAUGGGCCCGCGGCGCAUUAGCUAGUUGGUGAGGUAACGGCUCACCAAGGCGACGAUGCGUAGCCGACCUGAGAGGGUGAUCGGCCACACUGGGACUGAGACACGGCCCAGACUCCUACGGGAGGCAGCAGUAGGGAAUCUUCCACAAUGGGCGAAAGCCUGAUGGAGCAACGCCGCGUGAGUGAAGAAGGUUUUCGGAUCGUAAAACUCUGUUGUAAGGGAAGAACAAGUACAGUAGUAACUGGCUGUACCUUGACGGUACCUUAUUAGAAAGCCACGGCUAACUACGUGCCAGCAGCCGCGGUAAUACGUAGGUGGCAAGCGUUGUCCGGAAUUAUUGGGCGUAAAGCGCGCGCAGGCGGUCCUUUAAGUCUGAUGUGAAAGCCCACGGCUCAACCGUGGAGGGUCAUUGGAAACUGGGGGACUUGAGUGCAGAAGAGGAAAGUGGAAUUCCAAGUGUAGCGGUGAAAUGCGUAGAGAUUUGGAGGAACACCAGUGGCGAAGGCGACUUUCUGGUCUGUAACUGACGCUGAGGCGCGAAAGCGUGGGGAGCAAACAGGAUUAGAUACCCUGGUAGUCCACGCCGUAAACGAUGAGUGCUAAGUGUUAGGGGGUUUCCGCCCCUUAGUGCUGCAGCUAACGCAUUAAGCACUCCGGCCUGGGGAGUACGGUCGCAAGACUGAAACUCAAGGAAUUGACGGGGGCCCGCACAAGCGGUGAGCAUGUGGUUUAAUUCGAAGCAACGCGAAGAACCUUACCAGGUCUUGACAUCCCGGUGGACCACUGUAGAGAUAUAGUUUCCCCUUCGGGGCAACGGGUGGACAGGUGGUGCAUGGUUGUCGUCAGCUCGUGUCG
Molecule: ribosomal RNA, 1073 nt
Filed under: Lysinibacillus boronitolerans
Lineage: Bacteria; Bacillati; Bacillota; Bacilli; Caryophanales; Bacillaceae
Description: bacterial SSU rRNA
Rfam family: Bacterial small subunit ribosomal RNA
Source: RNAcentral